CAUGGCAUAGCUUACUAAAGCACCUCGCUUACACCGAGAAGACCUCUGCUAACCAGAUUACCAUGA
Molecule: transfer RNA, 66 nt
Filed under: Synapturanus sp. MHNL 19901
Lineage: Eukaryota; Metazoa; Chordata; Amphibia; Anura; Microhylidae
Description: tRNA-Val
Source: RNAcentral